Molecule: RNA transcript, 3081 nt
Organism: Crotalus tigris (Tiger rattlesnake)
Lineage: Eukaryota; Metazoa; Chordata; Lepidosauria; Squamata; Viperidae
Gene name: acetylcholinesterase-like
Exons: 5
Source: RefSeq, a predicted model, not a curated record
UCUGACAUGGUAUAGGAUCUCUUGCUUGAGCAGUGGGUUGGACUAGAAGACCUCCAAGGUCACUUCCAACUCUAUUGUCCAAAUUCUGUAUUCUAACUCAUGUACAUUUUAUUUGGUUUGAUUUUCCUAUUUGAGACAGGCUUCUUACUUUCUAGAAGCCUCCAGUUUUUAUUUCCUUACCAAUUCCCUGCUAUCUACAAAGCAUCUUUAUCUCUUCCUUAAUCUCUGUUUCCAUUUUUUCUUCGUCUCUCCAAGUAUUUUCUUUGUUUCUCUUUCCUCUGAGAUUGGUACAACAAGAAACUGGCACUCAGCCCCUUUUCUUUUCUUUUUUUCAAGUGCCUGCCAGCUUAUACCACACCUUAAUUCAUUUAUUUAUUGUUCUGCUAUAACCAAAUGGAUGUUUUUGUACCUACUUUUUUUCCUUUUAGGCUGACCAUAGGAAUCUCUGAGGAGCAAGACAGUCUCCAAGGGAGAACAGAUGUGAAUUUGUGUUGGAAAGAAAGACUGUGUACUUCAAAGGAGGAGAACAGGGGUGUAUUAAGGGGAAAAAAAGAGAAGGUGUGGCCCCAGAAAAGAAGAUAAAAUCUUGUUUUAGCCUCAUACACCUCCACCACCAUUACUUUGUUUAGUGUUUUGGAAAUUAAUCAUGUAUUUAGAUGAAUCUUCCUUCACACUGGAAAUAUUGAACAGGGCCAUGCAUCUUUCUGUGAGUUGUUAAUGCUGAUCGUUAGGUUUUACUACUGUGUAUCUUAAAAGGUAGGAAUUUUUUUUUUUACUCCGAAUGAGCAAAACAUGAUGAUGUAAAAUCCCAAAGGCCACAGCUUUGUUGAACAGCUACAGCUUUUAUUUGCUAAAGAAGUUCAAGGUUGGUUAAAUCAGUUGUACCUUUCAGCUGUCAUGGAGCAAUAGAUAUUGAAAAAUGAACUUUUUUAAAUGUAUAAUUGUAUUUCCUUUUCUCCUUUGUUAGGCAAUCUUUAUUGAAAAACCAAAACUGGAUAAUUCUUCUUUGCAAAGUGUCCUAAACUAAUGUCACAGCCAGAGGUCUAGAUCUAGCAUAUGAUGCAUAUUUACUGAAUAUCAUACAAUUGGGGAUUCUUAGAUCAGAGACAAGGUGUAACUCCUGAUCCUGGAUCCUAUUUGUUCCGAUUGCUGCCAUGCCUAUUCUCCUCCCUGCAUUCCUGGGUCUCUGCUUCUGCCAACUGAUUUCCAGUGACCUCUCUGAAAAUGACACUGUGGUGGUCACCAGCUCUGGAUCCAUUAAAGGCAUGAGAGUCAUAACUAAGUCUGGUGCCGUAAAUGCCUAUCUAGGAAUUCCAUAUGCUGAGCCUCCAGUAGGGAAACUGCGCUUCCAGAAACCUAUCCCACAUCAACCAUGGAGCCAUGUCUUGGAGGCUACCCACUUUGGGAAACCUUGUCACCAAUGGACCUCUUUUAGCUAUCCUUAUUCAAGAAUGUGGGUUGCCAGUAAACCCCAUUCUGAAGACUGUCUUUUCCUCAAUAUUUGGGUGCCUCACCCCCAGUCCUCUGUGUCAGUCCCUAUCCUUGUUUGGAUCCACGGUGGAGGAUUUAUUGUUGGUUCAGGGUCUUCGGUCUUAUACAACGGGUCAACAUUGGCUGCUACCGAAAAUGUCAUUGUGGCAUCUAUGAACUAUCGGGUGGGGAUCUGGGGCUUUCUCUUCUUCCCACCGGAAGCCCCAGGGAACAUGGGUUUAUGGGACCAAUAUCUGGCUCUGAAGUGGUUGAAGGAAAAUGCAGCAGUCUUUGGCGGAGAUGCAGAUAAGUUGACUCUCAUUGGCCAUAGUGCGGGAGCAGCCUCCGUGGGAUUCCAGCUCCUCUCUCCUGUAAGCCAAUCCCUUUUUGACCAAGCGGUGCUCCAGAGUGGAGCUCCCAAUGCACCCUGGGCUUCAAUGCUGCCUGAAAAGGCCCAGAAAUAUGCCCGUUAUUUAAUUGGUCUGUUGAACUGCAGAAAAGGAAACCACAGUGCCACAAUGAGCUGUCUCCAAAAUAAGGACGUCGGUGUGUUUCUGAAUUUCAGUUCUUUUUUCUUACCCACCUACGAUGGGGAUUUCCUUCCUGAAGAUCCAAAGAGACUUCUAGAGAAGGGGACAAUUCCAGCAAAGCCACUACUUAUAGGUAUUACAAGGGAUGAUGGCACAGUCUUUAUACCUCGAGUUUUCAACGAUGUAGACGAUGACAAAAACGAUACCUUGGAGCAGGUCAUAUCAGGUAUAGACAUUAUAUUACGAAGACAUUUUGAAGAAGACAUUAUCAAGGCUGUAGCACUUAAGUACAAUGAAGAUAAACAAGGGCUGAAUCUGAAUCGACAGAUCUUGGCUCAUUUUAGUAGAGAUUACUAUUUUGUGUGCCCACUAAUUGAAAUUGCUGCAAGGAUGGUAGCAACGAAGGGCUUUGUGUAUGUUUACUCCUUCAAUCACCAAAUUUCGACUUCCAUCUGGCAAGAAUGGAUGGGUGCAGCUCAUGGAGUUGAGGUCCCUUUUCUCUUUGGAACCCUCUCAUCACUCCCAGGACUCAGUCAAUCAGAUGCAGAAGCUGACAGGGUACUAAGCCAACGGGUGAUGCAUUACUGGGCCCAGUUUGCCAGAAGUGGGAAUCCCUCCAAAUUCGCAUCUGGUGAAGUUCAAUGGCCACAUUACAAUGCUACUGAACAAAGCAUCUACCAGAUCAGCACCGAGGCACCUCAAAUCAUGCAGUUUUUGCCACGUGAGCAGUGCAGCUUUUUGGCAACCCACAUUUAUAACACAACAGGAAUUGAUCCUAAUGAUCACGAUAAGCUGUCCAGGAGGAGCACCAAGGGCUCAAUCCCUCCUCCAGCUUUUGCUUGGUAAGCAGGUCGUCUGCUUGAAGAACGCUUAGCCAGACGCUCCGUGGCACCUUUGAAGAGAGUAUGCAGAGAGUCCUUUAUCUCACAAUUUACACUUGCCUUGUCUUCGCACUCAUGGCAUAUAGUUUGAAGUGCCACUAUUGUGCUCGGAAGAAUGCUGGGAAAAGCUGCCAUAAGAAAGCUACUAUCUGCUUUCCAAAGGAGGAAAACAAAUGCAUAACAAUCCAAGUUAUUUACCG